UACGUAGGGGGCUAGCGUUGUCCGGAAUCAUUGGGCGUAAAGCGCGUGUAGGCGGUUCGGUAAGUCCGCUGUGAAAGUCGGGGGCUCAACCCUCGGAUGCCGGUGGAUACUGUCGAGCUUGAGUACGGAAGAGGCGAGUGGAAUUCCUGGUGUAGCGGUGAAAUGCGCAGAUAUCAGGAAGAACACCAAUGGCGAAGGCAGCUCUCUGGGACGGUACUGACGCUGAGACGCGAAAGCGUGGGGAGCGAACAGG
Molecule: ribosomal RNA, 253 nt
Filed under: uncultured bacterium
Lineage: Bacteria
Description: partial 16S ribosomal RNA
Rfam family: Bacterial small subunit ribosomal RNA
Source: RNAcentral